Molecule: long non-coding RNA, 609 nt
Organism: Homo sapiens (human)
Lineage: Eukaryota; Metazoa; Chordata; Mammalia; Primates; Hominidae
Product: long intergenic non-protein coding RNA 1206
Source: Ensembl
ACCUUGACAGUUGUAACCGAUAGACUGGGCUGGGGCAACGCUGAUGAAAGGCAAAUUCCUGAGAGAAAAAUCACCCAGAUUUUUCAGUGCCUUCUCUAGCUUUCUAGAAGUUGUUAUGAGUGGACCUGACUACCUAGAGAGAGUAAUACAGAAGCUCCGUGCCGAUCACAGCUACCUCAUUACCAUGUUCCUCCAAGAUGGCCGCCCCUGAGGAGAAUCAUCAACUGGGCUUUACGGAAGAGAGAAAUCCAAACGACCAUCAGCAACAAAUGAAAGACUGAAGUUGAAAGGCAAGUCUUCAGAUUUGAAGUAAGAGCUUGAGAAGAAAAAUGAAAAAAGAAUCCUGGAGAUGACCAGCAUUUAGUGGGGUGAGGAAGAAGAGAAAAGCAGCAAGUAAAGAAUAAAAGGAAAUCCAUAAUUUUUGAAUGCUGGCCGAGGUCUGUGACCUCUGACUGAAUGGUUUCCAAGCUCCGAAUUCCUAGGUGAUGUUUUCAUUUGUUCACACUUGCUGAAGAAGGGAAAGGCUCUCUGAUUUACGUGUAAGCAAAACAAUCUAAACAGUAGGAUAAAAUCAUGUUGGAAUGGAGUUCUGUGUGGAUGCUCCUUUGA